Molecule: ribosomal RNA, 497 nt
Filed under: uncultured bacterium
Lineage: Bacteria
Description: partial 16S ribosomal RNA
Rfam family: Bacterial small subunit ribosomal RNA
Source: RNAcentral
GACGAACGCUGGCGGCGUGCCUAAUACAUGCAAGUAGAACGCUGAAGCUUGGUGCUUGCACCGAGCGGAUGAGUUGCGAACGGGUGAGUAACGCGUAGGUAACCUGCCUGGUAGCGGGGGAUAACUAUUGGAAACGAUAGCUAAUACCGCAUAAGAGUAGAUGUUGCAUGACAUUUUCUUAAAAGGUGCAAUUGCAUCACUACCAGAUGGACCUGCGUUGUAUUAGCUAGUUGGUGAGGUAACGGCUCACCAAGGCAACGAUACAUAGCCGACCUGAGAGGGUGAUCGGACACACUGGGACUGAGACACGGCCCAGACUCCUACGGGAGGCAGCAGUAGGGAAUCUUCGGCAAUGGACGGAAGUCUGACCGAGCAACGCCGCGUGAGGGAAGAAGGGUUUCGGAUCGUAAAGCUCUGUUGUAAGAGAAGAACGAGUGUGAGAGUGGAAAGUUCACACUGUGACGGUAUCUUACCAGAAAGGGACGGCUAACUACGUG